Molecule: transfer RNA, 79 nt
Filed under: Leifsonia xyli subsp. xyli str. CTCB07
Lineage: Bacteria; Bacillati; Actinomycetota; Actinomycetes; Micrococcales; Microbacteriaceae
Description: tRNA-Thr
Rfam family: tRNA
About the family: Transfer RNA (tRNA) molecules are approximately 80 nucleotides in length. Their secondary structure includes four short double-helical elements and three loops (D, anti-codon, and T loops).
Source: RNAcentral
GCCGACUUAGCUCAGCUGGUAGAGCACUCGCCUUGUAAGCGAGCGGUCGCGGGUUCGAACCCCGCAGUCGGCUCCGCGU